GCCACUGUGCCAUCUCUUCUUAUUCUUAUAUUUGUCUUAGAAUUCAAUAAUAAUUGUUUACAAUUUUUUAGUAUUAAAUUGAAUAAGUUUGGCAAAGUGUAUUUCACAUCUUCAAGAAAGAUUUAUUGGAAAACAGUCAUUGUUGAUUUAGACAAAAAUAUUUAGAAAAUAAGGCAUUACUGAAAUGACACAAGUAAAAUAUGAAACUGGAUACCAAUUUUUUUAAAUAUCAAAAUGCUGUAACUGAAAAAAAAACUGCUGUUUGUUUGUUGUUGGCUCUGUCAAUUACUAGAAUCCUGUGGUUUUAAUCACCAGCAGUUAAUUAACAAUGAUGUCCUGAGGAGGCUCACUGUCUCUAAGAACACAAGAAGCUCAAGCAGAUCUGAGAUGAUGCACACUUUCGGGCAGGUUCUCUCUUCUGAAUUAGGCUUCAUUCGUAAACAUUUAAAAGUAAAACCCAUACUGAAGAACAGUAACAUUUCCGAUAAUUCGGGGCUUCUGCACCAGGAUUGGGAAAUCUAGCAGAAGGCGGCUUCUUAACACUAUCUUGCUGUCAGCUACACACUGACACUCAUCCACACAACUAGCCAGCAGCACUUAUGGAGUGCUCACUUUAGGCAAGAAACCAGGUUAAGGUACAGCAAUAGACAAGAAGGUGAAAAAGAUGAUUCUGAUUACAAUUGGCAUAGUAGCUACCACGGUUUAUAAGUAUAAUUUUAACACAAAAUGCCUUGGGUUACGAAGGCUUGACAUCCCAAGAUGAUAGAUAUAUACAUACAUCCUUAUGAGUCUACGGAUUAUCAGAUUCAGUGAGACAGCUCCACAAACCAUGGCCUAUAAGUUUGGAAACACUGAUUAAUUUGUGUAAUACAAUAGGUACACAAAUAGCUAAAAUCCACAAAAGAAAGUCCCCAGCAUGAAAAUAAUUCCUGCUCAAGAAUCUGGGAAAAGCUCAACAAAAGCGUUGGUAUAUGAGGUAGGCUUUAAAAGCGGACAAUAUGCUUGCAAGAGAAAGAUGGUAAGGCAGGGAAUUCUAGCUAUACGAAAAAAGCAUGAGCAAAGCAGUUAGGACACUCCAGAGCUGGACUUCAUAGCCUUUCACGUCACAGACUCCUUCAAGAAUCUGCAGGAAGCCAUGGAACCCUCACCAGGAACGUGCACACUACGUCACAAUCGGCGGUUCUUUGCAUAACCUCAUAACCCAGGCUAAAGACCUUUGCUUUUGAUGUUUUUCAGGAACACAAAAAGCCCAACAGUAUCCAGAAAUGUAAACUGAGCAAGGAAGAACAACAGGAGAUACAGCUACAAUGAAUCUAGGCUUUGUUCUCUAACAAGGGUGGACCCUGUCAAUCAUAUAAGAAAGGAGAUCCUGCCUGAGCUACAAGGCUGAACAAAAGGAAGCAAAAACCCACCAUCCGGACAUAGAAGCCAACACUUGAGUCAAAGUCUUUUCAGGGAAUUGGACAGUAUCUGAGUGGCUAUAUAUGUGGUUGUCUUCAAUCCAGAGCCUCCUUAUGUCUUUUGUUUUGUUGCAAUGCGGACAUCUCUUACAGUAAGCAAACUUUUAGGGAAUGUGUGUUUCUCUGCAAAAUGACACCAUAAUUAGAGACAGACUAUUCCUCCUCAGCCUUAGCCAAUGAGCUCGUGUGGCCUGCCCAAGUGUCGUGAGUCGGGGGGGAAUCGUCCUGCUCUGUAAAUAUUUUCAUUCAAUGUAAACAAAACACAGUUGCAAAUCUUUUAACCAUUCAGCUAAUUAAUGUUCUGAAUUACUGCCUAUAAAAUACUCUCUAUAAAUCAUCAGUAACAAGAAGAAUCACAUUACUAUUAACAGGCAGUAUUUUUCCAGGUACCCAAAGUUAUAAAAUUAGUAAAACAGCAAUGGCCCAGGCUAAAAGCAGUGCAAAUCAGCAGUUAAUCCUUGAUUCUGACCUGCUUCCUUUUGGUACACUAAUUUUACAGUCAGUUUCUGAUACCUGCUGUCCUCUAGUAAUGCUCACCAUGAGCUAAAGUUGGCUACUGAACUCAGUUAGGUGAAAGCUCCCAUCAGUUACCAACUUCCGAGGUCAACACUAGCUUUUUGAAGGAUGCUGAGGAAAAUGGGCAUAUUGGUACCAAAGGGCCCAUGCCAACAAUUACAAUUCUUUCAUAUCCCAUUUUUAGCAUAUGAUUCAUAGUUACCAACCACAUACUGUAAGAGUCAGAAGUGCAUGCAUCAAGAAAAGGAGAACUGGGGGAAUGUCAUAUACAGAGGAACAGGAAUGGGUAUGUGUAUGUUACGCUGGAGAACAGACAGGUGGGUGACCAAGGAAUACUAUCAACUUAGGUUUUAUUACUUAGAAAAAGUUCAGAAUAGAGGUAAUAUUUCAGAGGCAUUGGGGGUUGAUGAUGGGACAGAAGAGCUGAUGUGAGGAUGACACUAGCGUACCCAGCCUCAGGGAAAUCUUACAAGAAGGUCUUGAUACAGAAAAGCUACCGUGAAACUAUGCAGAACUAACAAAGGAAGCAGGGCAGAAUGCAGAAGCAGCCAAAUAAAGCGUGGGUAUAUAACACAGAAUGAGAAUGCUGAAGCUAAUCUACAGUGAAUUAUUAGGAUGUCAAUGGGAGGGAUUGGAGUUGUUAAAUGUGGAAUACCAAAGUGACAGGCUCACAAUUUAAACUCUGUAAUUACUGCCAUAUUUCACCUCAUCUGUUAAACACAAUUUAUAUAACAUGAUGCUUAUGAAUCCAUACUUACAAAGAUAAAUUCAUUUAACCAACAAACGUUGUUUUGAGUGUUUAGAUAAUAUUAAUGAACAGAUAAAAAUGACAAACUCCUUAGUACAAAAAAGCAAAUUUCCACAGAUAAAAGUGGAGAAAGUGCACAUGACGGCUUGAGAAUUUAUGUGGCACAGGCACCCAACUAUAGUUUUUAAAACACUGAUAGAAAAUACUGAAAUUAGAAAUAAUUUUGUAGAAAUAAUUGGAGAACACUACCAAAUGGUUUUUUAGAAUUGUGAGAAAACUUUGCUAAAAAUCAUGGGACAAAAUGAACUUAUAUGACAUGGUGUACCUAUCCUAAGUAUUGUAGAAGGAAUUCCUGCACUGAGAAAGAAGAGAACAAAAGUCUAAGAUAGAAAAAGAACACAUACGCUUAUAUCAAUAAAAGCUAAUAUACAUAUUCAUGUAAUAAGAGGAAUUUAUCGACUCAAAAAAGAGGUCUAGAAUAGCAGGAAAAACAUGGACUUUGAAAACAGUCCAACCUGGGACUGCACUCUAUUAUCAAUUACAUAUGAGAUGUGAGACACUGGGAAAGUUAUUAACUACACCAAUCUGUUUUCCUGUACGUAAAAUGAGACAAAGAGUAGGAAUGUAAACACUAUAUGCCUGUGUCUCAUAUCCAUUCACUUCUUCCCACUUCAGACCACAAAAUCCUCUUAUCCUGCCUGUGCUAUCAUAACGGCAGGCUAACCGAUUACUACCAGAAUAAUCUUUUCAACACGUACACUGAGAGGCAAAAUCAUAGGGUAUCAUGGACAUAAAGAUCCUAAAAAUGAGAUUCUCCUAAAUACAUUAUAUGAGGACAAAAAUUUUAAAACAUCACCGUGAUCUCACAGAGAAAAUCACAUUUCUGAGAAACCAAAAUGAAUAAUAUCUUGGAACAAUUUCAAAACACCAAGUUACCAACUGCUGGCAGCCGAGGCCCAGCAAGUCAACCACCUGACAGUGAUUAUGGAGAGACAAUGACAACACUCUACCACAAAUCACAACGCCUCUACCUAGUGCCCUGCCCAACAUGGCAUUUCAUUGGUUUUUGUGUCUAGCCUUCUGAGCCCAUUCCUUAGCCUCACUUGACCAAAGAAAAAAAUCGAAAAGACCCAAGUAAUAAACUGAAUUGAUAAAUCAAUAAAAUAGGUCCACUAUUUCCUUGACCAAGGCAAUAUAUUUCCACUUUGCUUAAAAUGACCCUCACCUCCACAUACACCCUCACAAGUUCAGUUACUGAGGUUCUUUCUGUCAUCUAUGAAAUGCUUGGUUGACUUCCAAUUUCCCCUGCCUUUGCCAGAAAAUUGCUAAAUUUCCAAAAAGUGCUCUUUGAGCUGUCCAACAUUCCCAGACUCUCAUCUUACCGGCUGGAGGAGUUCUUACUAAUUUUAGAUUCAAGGAUGCCUUCUGUGAGCAAUUAGCUAUUCAGAGUCUCCGCCCUCAUCCUGCUUAGACACCAAACAUCACUAAUGCGGAGAACACAAACAAAUACAGCUAUCAACAAAGUCAGAAGCUACCUCUGAAAAGCAGUCAAACCAAGCCAAAAGGUCAGCUCUGCCACCUUAAUAGAUAGGUUUAUUGGAAAUCCUUCCAAAAGAAAUAAAUGUUGCCUAUCCUUCCCCUAAAGAAUUGAACGAGACAGUAGCAGAAAAACAGAAAAGACUCAGACAAAAGACAGAAAUACUUAAAAGACAGAGGCAGAGAGACUGACAGAGAAAGAGACCAGGCAGAUGGGGGUGGAGUCUGGGGGCGGAGGGGUGACAGAGACAGAAGGACAAACAGAGCAACUUGGAAGGUGAAUUUCUCUCUCUGUGAUUUUCAACAGUAUGAGGUUCUCCCAAGCAUAAGAAUCCAUUUUAAUGAAAGUAAAAUUACAUUUCAACAGUAAGUGGUCCAAUGCUGAUUACCAAGCACCUAUUGCUUCCUGUUCAGAUAUUCCUUUAAGAGGCUUACAUUCACCCCUCAUCCUCCACUGUGCACAGAUUUCUCGGCCUUUCUCCCAAUACAGGAGGGCCAGGGACAUGGCUACCGGGUUCAAAGCGCUAAAACAGCCUGCAGAGCUUCAGAAUGCAUGAGGUGC
RNAcentral lists this long non-coding RNA (4822 nucleotides) under Homo sapiens (human). Its description in RNAcentral is "HSALNT0382748". The record is from RNAcentral. Lineage: Eukaryota; Metazoa; Chordata; Mammalia; Primates; Hominidae.